Molecule: ribosomal RNA, 177 nt
Filed under: uncultured bacterium
Lineage: Bacteria
Description: partial 16S ribosomal RNA
Rfam family: Bacterial small subunit ribosomal RNA
Source: RNAcentral
AGUCGGAAUCGCUAGUAAUCGCGGAUCAGCAUGCCGCGGUGAAUACGUUCCCGGGCCUUGUACACACCGCCCGUCACACCAUGAGAGUCGGGAACACCCGAAGUCCGUAGCCUAACCGCGAAGGGGGCGCGGCCGAAGGUGGGUUCGAUAAUUGGGGUGAAGUCGUAACAAGGUAGC